This 328-nucleotide ribosomal RNA is filed under the name uncultured bacterium. RNAcentral describes it as "bacterial SSU rRNA". It matches the Rfam family "Bacterial small subunit ribosomal RNA", at positions 28 to 334 of the family's 1533-position model. The record is from RNAcentral.
GACGAACGCUGGCGGCAUGCCUAAUACAUGCAAGUCGAACGCUUUAAUUUCACCGGGUGCUUGCACCCAUCGAAGUUAAGGAGUGGCGGACGGGUGAGUAACACGUGGGUAACCUGCCCAUAAGAGGGGGAUAACAUUCGGAAACGGAUGCUAAUACCGCAUAUUUCUAAUCGUCUCCUGACGGAUGGAAGAAAGGUGGCUUCGGCUGCCGCUUAUGGAUGGUCCCGCGGCGUAUUAGCUAGUUGGUAAGGUAACGGCUUACCAAGGCGACGAUACAUAGCCGACCUGAGAGGGUGAUCGGCCACACUGGGACUGAGACACGGCCCAG